Molecule: ribosomal RNA, 460 nt
Filed under: uncultured bacterium
Lineage: Bacteria
Description: partial 16S ribosomal RNA
Rfam family: Bacterial small subunit ribosomal RNA
Source: RNAcentral
CCUACGGGUGGCAGCAGUGAGGAAUAUUGGUCAAUGGGCGGAAGCCUGAACCAGCCAAGUAGCGUGCAGGAUGACGGCCCUACGGGUUGUAAACUGCUUUUAUACGGGAAUAACUCGCCUUACGUGUAGGGCUUUGCAUGUACCGCAUGAUUAAGGACCGGCCAAUUCCGUGCCAGCAGCCGCGGUAAUCCGGAGGGUCCGGGCGUUAACCGGUCUUAUUGGGUUUAAAGGGAGCGUAGGCCGCAUGUCAAGCGAGCUGUGAAAUGUCCGGGCUCAACCCGGGCAUUGCAGCGCGAACUGGCGGGCUUGAGUCCGGGGAAGGCAGGCGGAAUUCGUGGUGUAGCGGUGAAAUGCUUAGAUAUGACGAAGAACCCCGAUUGCGAAGGCAGCUUGCUGCAGCGGAACUGACGCUGAUGCUCGAAAGCGCGGGUAUCGAACAGGAUUAGAUACCCCUGUAGUC